Acanthosepion pharaonis is the source of this 97-nucleotide non-coding RNA. NCBI's taxonomy places the organism in Eukaryota, Metazoa, Mollusca, Cephalopoda, Sepiida, Sepiidae. The record is from the annotation of a GenBank genome assembly.
CGUUGAAGCACCGGUUCUCGUACGAACACCGAAGUUAAGCAACGUUGAGCCUUUCAGUACAUAAAUGGGUGACCGCUUACUAGGUACUGUAGGUUGC